AGUGAACGCUGGCGGUAGGCCUAACACAUGCAAGUCGAACGGCAGCACAGUAAGGGCUUGCUCUUACGGGUGGCGAGUGGCGGACGGGUGAGGAAUACAUCGGACUCUACUUUUUCGUGGGGGAUAACGUAGGGAAACUUACGCUAAUACCGCAUACGACCUACGGGUGAAAGCAGGGGAUCUUCGGACCUUGCGCGAUUGAAUGAGCCGAUGUCGGAUUAGCUAGUUGGCGGGGUAAAGGCCCACCAAGGCGACGAUCCGUAGCUGGUCUGAGAGGAUGAACAGCCACACUGGAACUGAGACACGGCCCAGAGUCCUACGGGAGGCAGCAGUGGGGAAUAUUGGACAAUGUGGGCAAGCCUGAUCCAGCCAUACCGCGUGGGUGAAGAAGGCCUUCGGGUUGUAAAGCCCUUUUGUUGGGAAAGAAAAGCAGCAGGUUAAUACCCCGCUGUUCUGACGGUACCCAAAGAAGAAGCACCGGCUAACUUCGUG
This 492-nucleotide ribosomal RNA is filed under the name uncultured bacterium. Its description in RNAcentral is "partial 16S ribosomal RNA". It matches the Rfam family "Bacterial small subunit ribosomal RNA", at positions 29 to 507 of the family's 1533-position model. The record is from RNAcentral.